This 218-nucleotide ribosomal RNA is filed under the name uncultured bacterium. Its description in RNAcentral is "partial 16S ribosomal RNA". It matches the Rfam family "Bacterial small subunit ribosomal RNA", at positions 328 to 539 of the family's 1533-position model. The record is from RNAcentral.
ACGCUCGACACCUACGGGGGCAGCAGUGAGGAAUAUUGGUCAAUGGGCGCUAGCCUGAACCAGCCAAGUAGCGUGAAGGAUGAAGGCUCUAUGGGUCGUAAACUUCUUUUAUAUAAGAAUAAAGUGCAGUAUGUAUACUGUUUUGUAUGUAUUAUAUGAAUAAGGAUCGGCUAACUCCGUGCCAGCAGCCGACGGUAAUCUGAGCGGGCUGGCAAGGC